AGUCAUAUGCAUUUUCGAUAAGUUGGGAUUUUUUUAAAGGAGUAUUUGAAGGAUUGCACUUUCUUUCGAGAUCUAUACAAUGGGUUAUGGAAUAUGUUACCUCUCCAACAUAUUUCGUAAUUUUGACUGGGAGACUAGGAGUAUACAUGGCUUCUUCAAAGGUGGGAAAUGUCUCCGGCGAGGUGAUCUGCUAUCUCUCUUUUUGUUUGUGCUUUGUCUUGAAUAUUUUUCUAAAAUGGUUAAGGUGGCCACAAAUGAUAGUGAAUUCAAUUAUCACCCUAAAUGUGGCCCCCUAAAGAUAACUCAUUUAACUUUUACGGAUGACUUGAUACUUUUUGCAAGGGGAGAUGUUAUGUCAGUGCAAUUUCUUAUGGAUUGUCUUUCCAACUUUGAUUUUGCAUCGGGUUUGAGGAUGAAUAUUUUAAAACCCAGCUUGUAUAUAGUUUGUGUUUAUGGGAAAGAGCUUGAUGAUAUCAUUGAACUCACAAAUUUCCUGAAGGGUACUAUGUCUUUCCGUUACUUAGAAAUUUCUAUGGGGCUCCAAAAAACCUUUGGUAGCUUGGAAGGACAUUUGCUUACUGAAAAAUGAAGGGGUCUCGGGUUAAAAGACAUGAAGAGUUAGAACUCGGCUUUGCUUGCUAAAUCUCUUUGGAAUAUUCAUCGGAAAAAGGAUACCCUUUAGAUAGGUUGGAUUUCCGCAAGGGGACUGCCUAUGCAAUCAGGCCAGUAGGAGGCGAGAAGUAACCUGGAUUAUCCAGGCCAGUUAGCCCCAAAUUAGGAUCAUGGGGCUGUUCAAGUAGACGCAAGACUGCAAACGAACAGAAAUCUCAACUGAACAAUUUUGGACAGAUUAACUGCUUGGUCUUCCGGUGGAAAAUUUUGCACAAGUAUGGCUUAUGAUUUUUUCCGGCCUAAAAGAACGAAGAAAAUCUGGCCAGCGGCAGUUUGGAGCCCUUGCAUUACACUGAAGCACUCCUUUUGCUUUGGUUAGGAGUUGAAUCUAAACUCGUUACUAUAGAAAAAUUGCAAUACCUGGACAUCGAUCGAAAUUGUGUUCUUGGCGGAGAUAUGGCAGAAACAGUGCAGCACCUUUCCUUUCAAUGUACAUUCACAUCUACCUUAUGGGGAAAGGUCAAAUAGUGGAUUGACAUUAGAAGAUCUAUAUCAACACUUGCUAGCACAUUGAAGUGGAUUAAAAAAAAGGCUCAUGGGACAUCGUGGCUAAGCAAGGCUAAUUGGAUUGCACUUGCAACUACCGUCUACUACAAGUUAGCUCAGAAUAGGAAGAUUUUUAAAGACCUUACACCACGAUUGGAUUGUAUUGUGAGACGAAUCAAAAUACACGUAUACGAAGUUAUAUUCUCUUUGUAUCCGGAUGUCUUAAUUCAUUUCGAAUCCUUAGUGUUAGAUCAUUGAUUUUUAUUAUACUUCCUAUAUUUUUGUUUCACCCAGGUAUGCUCAAAGUAAUUGUAUGCGACAUUGGCUUUGUUUUGUCCAGGUAUGCUUAGUGUACUUGUACAUGA
Long non-coding RNA from Olea europaea var. sylvestris, 1523 nucleotides. RefSeq lists it as uncharacterized. The transcript has 3 exons. The record is from RefSeq and is a predicted model, not a curated record. NCBI's taxonomy places the organism in Eukaryota, Viridiplantae, Streptophyta, Magnoliopsida, Lamiales, Oleaceae.